AUACACAUGCAUUGUCGAUCUUUUUUUUCUUUCUUUCUUAACCAGCGAUGCUAUGAUUGGACCAAAAGCUAGAGUGAAAAUUCAUUUGUUUAUUAUCCUGAUAGGAACCUGCGGAUCUCAUACCUAAUGAUCUGCGGAGCGGAUUUAUGCGAUUACAUUU
This is a non-coding RNA of Glycine soja, 160 nucleotides long. The record is from Rfam. NCBI's taxonomy places the organism in Eukaryota, Viridiplantae, Streptophyta, Magnoliopsida, Fabales, Fabaceae.